Molecule: long non-coding RNA, 328 nt
Filed under: Triticum aestivum (bread wheat)
Lineage: Eukaryota; Viridiplantae; Streptophyta; Magnoliopsida; Poales; Poaceae
Description: long non-coding RNA (TAES_LNC001179)
Source: RNAcentral
UCGUAGAAGAAAAUUGUUGGUUGUGCUGAACGAAUAGCAGACAGCAUCAUGGUGUAGUGCUGUGGUGCUAGAACCCUAGGACAACACUGGUACGAGGCUAUUCCUAUUUAACUUUUUUACUUGGAUCAUAUAAUUGUCUUCUGUAGUAGUGCACACGAACAUAUAAUUGGGGAUUUAUUCUAGCUUAAAAUUUCUAACUAGGAAUGGUUUGCUUCACAUUUCAACCGGCAGUACUGCUGCUGUGGCAGUACGUGAACCUGGGAGUGAGCCGACGUUCUACUCCAAGUGGUUCAAGGCGGCGACCCCGUUGUCUACAGCUAUAUCUACG